GCCCCGAGAUGAGUUCUCCCUGAGACUUAGAGUCUCCUGAAGGAACGUUGAAGACGACGACGUUGAUAGGCCGGGUGUGUAAGCGCAGCGAUGCGUUGAGCUAACCGGUACUAAUGAACCGUGAGGCUUAACCUUACAACGCCGAAG
RNAcentral lists this ribosomal RNA (147 nucleotides) under Salmonella enterica subsp. enterica serovar Infantis. Its description in RNAcentral is "partial 23S ribosomal RNA". It matches the Rfam family "Bacterial large subunit ribosomal RNA", at positions 2796 to 2925 of the family's 2925-position model. The record is from RNAcentral. RNAcentral also lists the same sequence under 2 other names. Lineage: Bacteria; Pseudomonadati; Pseudomonadota; Gammaproteobacteria; Enterobacterales; Enterobacteriaceae.